Molecule: ribosomal RNA, 497 nt
Filed under: uncultured bacterium
Lineage: Bacteria
Description: partial 16S ribosomal RNA
Rfam family: Bacterial small subunit ribosomal RNA
Source: RNAcentral
GAUGAACGCUGGCGGCGUGCCUAAUACAUACAAGUCGAGCGAACGGACGAGAAGCUUGCUUUUCUGAUGUUAGCGGCGGACGGGUGAGUAACACGUGGAUAACCUACCUAUAAGACUGGGAUAACUUCGGGAAACCGGAGCUAAUACCGGAUAAUAUUUUGAACCGCAUGGUUCAAAAGUGAAAGACGGUCUUGCUGUCACUUAUAGAUGGAUCCGCGCUGCAUUAGCUAGUUGGUAAGGUAACGGCUUACCAAGGCAACGACGCAUAGCCGACCUGAGAGGGUGAUCGGCCACACUGGAACUGAGACACGGUCCAGACUCCUACGGGAGGCAGCAGUAGGGAAUCUUCCGCAAUGGGCGAAAGCCUGACGGAGCAACGCCGCGUGAGUGAUGAAGGUCUUCGGAUCGUAAAACUCUGUUAUUAGGGAAGAACAUAUGUGUAAGUAACUGUGCACAUCUUGACGGUACCUAAUCAGAAAGCCACGGCUAACUACGUG